This 322-nucleotide ribosomal RNA is filed under the name uncultured Limnohabitans sp. RNAcentral's name for it is "bacterial SSU rRNA". It matches the Rfam family "Bacterial small subunit ribosomal RNA", at positions 1 to 335 of the family's 1533-position model. The record is from RNAcentral. Lineage: Bacteria; Pseudomonadati; Pseudomonadota; Betaproteobacteria; Burkholderiales; Comamonadaceae.
CUCGGAGUUUGAUCCUGGCUCAGAUUGAACGCUGGCGGAAUGCUUUACACAUGCAAGUCGAACGGUAGAGGGGGCAACCCCUCGAGAGUGGCGAACGGGUGAGUAAUAUAUCGGAACGUGCCCAGUCGUGGGGGAUAACGUAGUGAAAAUUACGCUAAUACCGCAUACGAUCUAAGGAUGAAAGCGGGGAUCGCAAGACCUCGCGCGAUUGGAGCGGCCGAUAUCAGAUUAGCUAGUUGGUGGGUAAAGGCUCACCAAGCCAACGAUCUGUAGCUGGUCUGAGAGGACGACCAGCCACACUGGAACUGAGACACGGUCCAGA